GGUCAAGUGAAGAAGCGCAUACGGUGGAUGCCUUGGCAGUCAGAGGCGAUGAAAGACGUGGUAGCCUGCGAAAAGCUUCGGGGAGUCGGCAAACAGACUUUGAUCCGGAGAUCUCUGAAUGGGGGAACCCACCUAGGAUAACCUAGGUAUCUUGUACUGAAUCCAUAGGUGCAAGAGGCGAACCAGGGGAACUGAAACAUCUAAGUACCCUGAGGAAAAGAAAUCAACCGAGAUUCCCUUAGUAGUGGCGAGCGAACGGGGAUUAGCCCUUAAGCUUCAUUGAUUUUAGCGGAACGCUCUGGAAAGUGCGGCCAUAGUGGGUGAUAGCCCCGUACGCGAAAGGAUCUUUGAAGUGAAAUCGAGUAGGACGGAGCACGAGAAACUUUGUCUGAACAUGGGGGGCCAUCCUCCAAGGCUAAAUACUACUGACUGACCGAUAGUGAACCAGUACCGUGAGGGAAAGGCGAAAAGAACCCCGGAGAGGGGAGUGAAAUAGAACCUGAAACCGUAUGCGUACAAGCAGUGGGAGCCUACUUGUUAGGUGACUGCGUACCUUUUGUAUAAUGGGUCAGCGACUUAUAUUCAGUGGCAAGCUUAACCGUAUAGGGUAGGCGUAGCGAAAGCGAGUCUUAAUAGGGCGUUUAGUCGCUGGGUAUAGACCCGAAACCGGGCGAUCUAUCCAUGAGCAGGUUGAAGGUUAGGUAACACUGACUGGAGGACCGAACCCACUCCCGUUGAAAAGGUAGGGGAUGACUUGUGGAUCGGAGUGAAAGGCUAAUCAAGCUCGGAGAUAGCUGGUUCUCCUCGAAAGCUAUUUAGGUAGCGCCUCAUGUAUCACUCUGGGGGGUAGAGCACUGUUUCGGCUAGGGGGUCAUCCCGACUUACCAAACCGAUGCAAACUCCGAAUACCCAGAAGUGCCGAGCAUGGGAGACACACGGCGGGUGCUAACGUCCGUCGUGAAAAGGGAAACAACCCAGACCGCCAGCUAAGGUCCCAAAGUUGUGGUUAAGUGGUAAACGAUGUGGGAAGGCUUAGACAGCUAGGAGGUUGGCUUAGAAGCAGCCAUCCUUUAAAGAAAGCGUAAUAGCUCACUAGUCGAGUCGGCCUGCGCGGAAGAUGUAACGGGGCUCAAACCACACACCGAAGCUGCGGGUGUCACGUAAGUGACGCGGUAGAGGAGCGUUCUGUAAGCCUGUGAAGGUGAGUUGAGAAGCUUGCUGGAGGUAUCAGAAGUGCGAAUGCUGACAUGAGUAACGACAAUGGGUGUGAAAAACACCCACGCCGAAAGACCAAGGGUUCCUGCGCAACGUUAAUCGACGCAGGGUUAGUCGGUUCCUAAGGCGAGGCUGAAAAGCGUAGUCGAUGGGAAACAGGUUAAUAUUCCUGUACUUCUGGUUACUGCGAUGGAGGGACGGAGAAGGCUAGGCCAGCUUGGCGUUGGUUGUCCAAGUUUAAGGUGGUAGGCUGAAAUCUUAGGUAAAUCCGGGGUUUCAAGGCCGAGAGCUGAUGACGAGUCGUCUUUUAGAUGACGAAGUGGUUGAUGCCAUGCUUCCAAGAAAAGCUUCUAAGCUUCAGGUAACCAGGAACCGUACCCCAAACCGACACAGGUGGUCGGGUAGAGAAUACCAAGGCGCUUGAGAGAACUCGGGUGAAGGAACUAGGCAAAAUGGCACCGUAACUUCGGGAGAAGGUGCGCCGGCUAGGGUGAAGGAUUUACUCCGUAAGCUCUGGCUGGUCGAAGAUACCAGGCCGCUGCGACUGUUUAUUAAAAACACAGCACUCUGCAAACACGAAAGUGGACGUAUAGGGUGUGACGCCUGCCCGGUGCCGGAAGGUUAAUUGAUGGGGUUAGCGCAAGCGAAGCUCUUGAUCGAAGCCCCGGUAAACGGCGGCCGUAACUAUAACGGUCCUAAGGUAGCGAAAUUCCUUGUCGGGUAAGUUCCGACCUGCACGAAUGGCGUAACGAUGGCGGCGCUGUCUCCACCCGAGACUCAGUGAAAUUGAAAUCGCUGUGAAGAUGCAGUGUAUCCGCGGCUAGACGGAAAGACCCCGUGAACCUUUACUGUAGCUUUGCACUGGACUUUGAGCCUGCUUGUGUAGGAUAGGUGGGAGGCUUUGAAGCGUGGACGCCAGUUCGCGUGGAGCCAUCCUUGAAAUACCACCCUGGCAUGCUUGAGGUUCUAACUCUGGUCCGUAAUCCGGAUCGAGGACAGUGUAUGGUGGGCAGUUUGACUGGGGCGGUCUCCUCCUAAAGAGUAACGGAGGAGUACGAAGGUGCGCUCAGACCGGUCGGAAAUCGGUCGCAGAGUAUAAAGGCAAAAGCGCGCUUGACUGCGAGACAGACACGUCGAGCAGGUACGAAAGUAGGUCUUAGUGAUCCGGUGGUUCUGUAUGGAAGGGCCAUCGCUCAACGGAUAAAAGGUACUCCGGGGAUAACAGGCUGAUACCGCCCAAGAGUUCAUAUCGACGGCGGUGUUUGGCACCUCGAUGUCGGCUCAUCACAUCCUGGGGCUGAAGCCGGUCCCAAGGGUAUGGCUGUUCGCCAUUUAAAGUGGUACGCGAGCUGGGUUUAGAACGUCGUGAGACAGUUCGGUCCCUAUCUGCCGUGGACGUUUGAGAUUUGAGAGGGGCUGCUCCUAGUACGAGAGGACCGGAGUGGACGAACCUCUGGUGUUCCGGUUGUCACGCCAGUGGCAUUGCCGGGUAGCUAUGUUCGGAAAAGAUAACCGCUGAAAGCAUCUAAGCGGGAAACUUGCCUCAAGAUGAGAUCUCACUGGGAACUUGAUUCCCCUGAAGGGCCGUCGAAGACUACGACGUUGAUAGGCUGGGUGUGUAAGCGUUGUGAGGCGUUGAGCUAACCAGUACUAAUUGCCCGUGAGGCUUGACCAU
Molecule: ribosomal RNA, 2890 nt
Filed under: Pseudomonas aeruginosa
Lineage: Bacteria; Pseudomonadati; Pseudomonadota; Gammaproteobacteria; Pseudomonadales; Pseudomonadaceae
Description: 23S ribosomal RNA
Rfam family: Bacterial large subunit ribosomal RNA
Source: RNAcentral